This is a long non-coding RNA of Gallus gallus (chicken), 733 nucleotides long. The record is from Ensembl. Lineage: Eukaryota; Metazoa; Chordata; Aves; Galliformes; Phasianidae.
AAGUUAGCUGAGACAAGACUGAUUGAUUUUAUUUAUUUUUAUACUGGUGGCAAGGAGACUUUGGAGAUGAACAAAUAACAUCUUGAACUCCCUAUACAUUUCCAUGCUAAUGGAUGAGGAUUGUGAGGCAGAAGGAAUAAACAAUCUUUGCAGUUGAAAAUACAGUGCAUUUUCACUCUGUUGCCAUAUGAUUAUGGGCUUGCAUGAAUCAGUAUCAUUCACAGGUAUGGUUGACGUUCAGUCACUCAUCUGAAGCUAUGAUGCUUCAUAGGAUAAAUUCAGUGUGCCAGACAUGAAUCAGAGCGAUCAGGAGACCCAACAUUUCACUCCAGAAAUUCUAAAGCUGAUGAGAAGCAGUUUUCGUUGAGUCAGCUGUCUGCAGAAGCUGUGUCUGUAUAGAGGUACUAAACAUUUUUUAUGGUUUUAAAAAUAUGUUUUAAUAUCUGCUGCCAUCUUGAAUUUUGUUAGGAAAAGAUGGGCUUUCAGAGUUGUGCAAGAAGCAUUCCUUCUGUCUCUGGGAACCUGAAAACUAUUUAUGUGCUAUGUUUUCUGUUAUUAGGAAUCCAGUUAACUUCAGAUUCAUGAAACAUAUGUUAUGCUUUUGAUGUUUCUUGCCUAAAUCCACCAUGAACACACAGAAUAGAGAACAUGUCCUUGUUGUUUGAUCUAACAUGAGUCUGUACUGAUGAUUAUUUCAUGCCAGCAUAUCCCUUUGUGUGUGCUGAGUUUGAAA